This 333-nucleotide ribosomal RNA is filed under the name Kolotl magnus. RNAcentral's name for it is "partial 12S ribosomal RNA". The record is from RNAcentral. Lineage: Eukaryota; Metazoa; Arthropoda; Arachnida; Scorpiones; Diplocentridae.
UAAAAUAUUAUUUAUUAGGUAGUAAUGAAAUUUCUGAAACCUAAAGAAUUUGGCGGUAUUUUAAAUAAUUGGAGGAACCUGUUAAUUAAUUGAUAAUCCACAACAAAUCUUUCCCUAUUUUUGUUUGUAUAUCGUCGUUUUUAGAUAAUAUUUAAAAAUAUAGUCAUGAUUAAUAAUAUUUAAUAAAUCAGAUCAAGGUGCAACAUAAUAGGGUUUUAAUGGGUUACAAUAUUUUUAAAAUAAUUACGGAUAUAAAUAGAAAAUCUAUUUGAAGGAGGAUUCAAAAGUAAUUUAAAAUUAAUUUGUUUUUUUGAAUUAUAAUUUAAAAUAUGU